CCAGAUUAGGUAGUAACAACCAUUUGAGUCUGGGAUUUCUGAAUGGGGAAACCCACUUACAUAAGUAAGUAUCCUUACCUGAAUACAUAGGGUAAGGAGGCGAACCGGGGGAACUGAAACAUCUAAGUACCCCGAGGAAAAGAAAUCAACCGAGAUUCCGAAAGUAGCGGCGAGCGAAAUUGGACUAGCCCUUAAGCUUUACACGCGUUAGACGAACGGUCUGGAAAGUCCGACGAUACAGGGUGAUAGUCCCGUAGUUGACGACGUGUGUUCAGUGAAAUCGAGUAGGGCGGGACACGUGAUAUCCUGUCUGAAUAUGGGGGGACCAUCCUCCAAGGCUAAAUACUACUGACUGACCGAUAGUGAACCAGUACCGUGAGGGAAAGGCGAAAAGAACCCCUG
Molecule: ribosomal RNA, 402 nt
Filed under: Vibrio parahaemolyticus
Lineage: Bacteria; Pseudomonadati; Pseudomonadota; Gammaproteobacteria; Vibrionales; Vibrionaceae
Description: partial 23S ribosomal RNA
Rfam family: Bacterial large subunit ribosomal RNA
Source: RNAcentral